ACCGGUUGAGUUCAGCAGGCAGAACGCCUGGUUGCAAAAUCAAAAUGUCAGCGAUUCAACUCCGCUAACCGGUACCA
Molecule: transfer RNA, 77 nt
Filed under: Enterobacteriaceae bacterium RIT711
Lineage: Bacteria; Pseudomonadati; Pseudomonadota; Gammaproteobacteria; Enterobacterales; Enterobacteriaceae
Description: tRNA-Cys
Rfam family: tRNA
About the family: Transfer RNA (tRNA) molecules are approximately 80 nucleotides in length. Their secondary structure includes four short double-helical elements and three loops (D, anti-codon, and T loops).
Source: RNAcentral